GAACUUUCCAGAGAUGGAUUGGUGCCUUCGGGAACUGUGAGACAGGUGCUGCAUGGCUGUCGUCAGCUCGUGUUGUGAAAUGUUGGGUUAAGUCCCGCAACGAGCGCAACCCUUAUCCUUUGUUGCCAGCGGUCCGGCCGGGAACUCAAAGGAGACUGCCAGUGAUAAACUGGAGGAAGGUGGGGAUGACGUCAAGUCAUCAUGGCCCUUACGACCAGGGCUACACACGUGCUACAAUGGCGCAUACAAAGAGAAGCGACCUCGCGAGAGCAAGCGGACCUCAUAAAGUGCGUCGUAGUCCGGAUUGGAGUCUGCAACUCGACUCCAUGAAGUCGGAAUCGCUAGUAAUCGUGGAUCAGAAUGCCACGGUGAAUACGUUCCCGGGCCUUGUACACACCGCCCGUCACACCAUGGGAGUGGGUUGCAAAAGAAGUAGGUAGCUUAACCUUCGGGAGGGCGCUUACCACUUUGUGAUUCAUGACUGGGGUGAAGUCGUAACAAGGUAACCGUAGGGGAACCUGCGGUUGGAUC
This 531-nucleotide ribosomal RNA is filed under the name Escherichia coli. RNAcentral describes it as "bacterial SSU rRNA". It matches the Rfam family "Bacterial small subunit ribosomal RNA", at positions 993 to 1524 of the family's 1533-position model. The record is from RNAcentral. Lineage: Bacteria; Pseudomonadati; Pseudomonadota; Gammaproteobacteria; Enterobacterales; Enterobacteriaceae.